This 447-nucleotide ribosomal RNA is filed under the name uncultured bacterium. RNAcentral's name for it is "bacterial SSU rRNA". It matches the Rfam family "Bacterial small subunit ribosomal RNA", at positions 328 to 792 of the family's 1533-position model. The record is from RNAcentral.
UCGCCAGACUCCUACGGGAGGCAGCAGUGGGGAAUAUUGCACAAUGGGGGAAACCCUGAUGCAGCGACGCCGCGUGAGUGAAGAAGUAUUUCGGUCUGUAAAGCUCUAUCAGCAGGGAAGAUAAUGACGGUACCUGAGUAAGAAGCCCCGGCUAACUACGUGCCAGCAGCCGCGGUAAUACGUAGGGGGCAAGCGUUAUCCGGAUUUACUGGGUGUAAAGGGAGCGUAGACGGCAUGGCAAGUCUGAAGUGAAAGCCCGGGGCUCAACCGCGGGACUGCUUUGGAAACUGUUAAGCUGGAGUGCAGGAGAGGUAAGUGGAAUUCCUAGUGUAGCGGUGAAAUGCGUAGAUAUUAGGAGGAACACCAGUGGCGGAGGCGGCUUACUGGACGGUAACUGACGCUGAGGCUCGAAAGCGUGGGGAGCAAACAGGAUUAGAUACCCCCGUA